This 253-nucleotide ribosomal RNA is filed under the name uncultured bacterium. RNAcentral's name for it is "partial 16S ribosomal RNA". It matches the Rfam family "Bacterial small subunit ribosomal RNA", at positions 524 to 776 of the family's 1533-position model. The record is from RNAcentral.
UACGGGGGGGGCAAGCGUUGUUCGGAAUUACUGGGCGUAAAGGGCUCGUAGGCGGCCAACUAAGUCAGACGUGAAAUCCCUCGGCUUAACCGGGGAACUGCGUCUGAUACUGGAUGGCUUGAGGUUGGGAGAGGGAUGCGGAAUUCCAGGUGUAGCGGUGAAAUGCGUAGAUAUCUGGAGGAACACCGGUGGCGAAGGCGGCAUCCUGGACCGACACUGACGCUGAGGAGCGAAAGCCAGGGGAGCAAACCUG